RNAcentral lists this ribosomal RNA (480 nucleotides) under uncultured bacterium. RNAcentral describes it as "bacterial SSU rRNA". It matches the Rfam family "Bacterial small subunit ribosomal RNA", at positions 62 to 519 of the family's 1533-position model. The record is from RNAcentral.
UCGAACGGUAACAGGCCGCGCUCAUCCUUCGGGGUGUUGUGGCGCUGACGAGUGGCGGACGGGUGAGUAAUGCUUAGGAAUCUACCCAGAAGUGGGGGACAACCCGAGGAAACUCGGGCUAAUACCGCGUAAGCCCUACGGGGGAAAGCGGGGGACUCUUCGGAGCCUCGCGCUUUGGAUGAGCCUAAGUCGGAUUAGCUUGAUGGUGAGGUAAAAGCUCACCAUGGCGACGAUCCGUAGCUGGUCUGAGAGGACGAUCAGCCACACUGGGACUGAGACACGGCCCAGACUCCUACGGGAGGCAGCAGUGGGGAAUAUUGGACAAUGGGGGCAACCCUGAUCCAGCAAUGCCGCGUGUGUGAAGAAGGCCUGCGGGUUGUAAAGCACUUUCAGUAGAGAAGAAAAGCUCGAGGUUAAUACCCUCGGGUCUUGACGUAACCUAAAGAAGAAGCACCGGCUAACUCCGUGCCAGCAGCCGCG